Molecule: non-coding RNA, 343 nt
Organism: Pelobates cultripes (western spadefoot toad)
Lineage: Eukaryota; Metazoa; Chordata; Amphibia; Anura; Pelobatidae
Source: the annotation of a GenBank genome assembly
AGUCAAACAGUUUGCAGAUAUUUUUGUUGUUUUUGUAAAAAAAGGCUUUUUAUACAUAGGUAUGAGAAUGGUGUUGCAUAUUUAAUUGGAAGUGUUAGUUUAAGACUACAGUUGUAAUCUAUCACUAGCAUAGGAACUACAUUGUGUCAAACUGUGUUUAUUCUAAGGGAAACAGAGUGUGAAAUUUGUUAAUUUAUUUUGGAAUGGUUAUGGUUUAGUUGCGUGCCCAUAUUUGCUGGGUAUCUAUUAUGUGUAUUUACUACGUCUGGUCCUUCGGACCUGUGUUCUGUUUUGUCACAUGACAACAGGUUUGAUAUUACAAUGAUUGCUGAGUUUAAGUUCU